This 439-nucleotide ribosomal RNA is filed under the name uncultured bacterium. RNAcentral's name for it is "partial 16S ribosomal RNA". It matches the Rfam family "Bacterial small subunit ribosomal RNA", at positions 339 to 795 of the family's 1533-position model. The record is from RNAcentral.
CUACGGGAUGCAGCGGUGAGGAAUAUUGCACAAUGGGGGGAACCCUGAUGCAGCAACGCCGCGUGGAGGAUGACGCAUUUCGGUGUGUAAACUCCUUUUAUAUGUCAAGAAAAUGACGGUAGCAUAUGAAUAAGCACCGGCUAACUCCGUGCCAGCAGCCGCGGUAAUACGGAGGGUGCAAGCGUUACUCGGAAUCACUGGGCGUAAAGGACGCGUAGGCGGGCUUGUAAGUCAGGUGUGAAAUCCUACAGCUUAACUGUAGAACUGCACUUGAAACUACGAGCCUAGAGUAUGGGAGGGGCAGAUGGAAUUAGUGGUGUAGGGGUAAAAUCCGUAGAUAUCACUAGGAAUACCUAAAGCGAAGGCGAUCUGCUGGAACAUAACUGACGCUAAGGCGUGAAAGCGUGGGGAGCAAACAGGAUUAGAUACCCGCGUAGUC